RNAcentral lists this long non-coding RNA (1504 nucleotides) under Mus musculus (house mouse). Its description in RNAcentral is "long non-coding RNA chr12:81636389-81637893". The record is from RNAcentral. Lineage: Eukaryota; Metazoa; Chordata; Mammalia; Rodentia; Muridae.
AUGCUCCUCCGUGGCCUUCAGUUCAGCUCCUGCCUUCAGGCUCCUGCUUGAGUGCCUGCUCUGACUUCCUUUCAUGGUGGACGGUGAUUGGGAUGAGUUGGCCCAAAUGAACCUCUUUCGGGCUGCUUUUGGCUGCCAACCCCAAGUGGCAAUUGGCUGUGGUUCCCUAUCCCAGCAAUAGAAACCUAACUAAGGCAAGAGCCGAGCACAGCAUGGAAAUAUAAACUUUGUUCAAAAAAGCAGGGAAACCAUGUCUCUAAAGAUCCCAAAAUGUAAAACUCUUACCUGGGACACAGCUGCUACCCAGGACUUAGAAGAUUAAAGCAAGAGAGUCAUGAAUUUAAGGCUAGCUAUCCUGGUCUACAUAGUGAGUUUAAGACCAGGCAGCCUCGUCUACACAGUGAGUUCAGGGCUAACCAGUAUGGUCUACACAGUGAAUUCAAGCUGGACUGUCUCAAAAACAACCCAACCAGAAAGAAGAAAAGGUAAAACUUUUCCUUUUUUUUUUUUUUUUCAUGGUUGCCCUCUCUGACAUGGUGGGGAUUUUUUGUUUGUUUCUUUCUUUUCUUUUCUUUUUUUCCUUUUAAUUUGCUAUUCAGUGUCAUUACACGUAAAGAAAAUCAAAUUUUUAUAUUGGAAUGAUCUUUACUAUUCAUCUGUGCUUUGUGCAAUGCCAGUUUUAAAUGAGAAUAUGACUAUUUAACUUGCAUGUGGAAUCAAAAAUUACACAAUUCAUAUUUUGUAGUUCCUACAUGCAUACAUAAUGUAUUCCUACUGGAACAGUGGGAAUGCUGCACAAAUGAACUGUUUUUAUUUAACUUCUUUAUAUGCAUAUUUUAUAUGCAGAUGCCAUAUGUGCACUUUCUACAGGGCUUUCUGAUAAGUGGGGAGAGAGGAAGGAGCUGGGGGUCACCCUAUUCUUUCCUUUGUGCCAGUUCUAGCGUAAGUGAUUGGCUUAUGACAGAGAACUAACAGAAAUAAGGGAUAUGAUCUGGUUCUAUGGGAUAUUUGUGUUACUUAGUCCCUACCACCCCCCGAAUUUGAAGACGUUUCUGGUUUAAGAGUGUGGCUUCUUGGGUCCGCUAAUGUGUCCACUUCAUUAUAGACACGACACCUUCACCUACUCUCAUUGAACUCUGGGUCAUGGAUCUGCCAUAAGUCUGUGCUUGCAGGAUAUUGUGAAUUCAAAUGUGAAUGGGGCUUCAAAGAGCAGUACUGCACUUAUCUUACACACAUGUUAUAUGCUGUCAUCAGGCUUCACCUACAGCAACAGAAGAAUAUGAAAACAAGCACUGAAUGCUUUCAAGCAAGGAUCCAGGCAGCUUCAUAAGUGGUCUGUCUCUGAAAUCAACCCUAAAUGAGUCUGUAGGAGAGGACCGAAUGGAUACAUCUAAGUAUACAAAACUGGGUGCAGACUCUGAGACGAAGUCUAGAAAGAAAGGAUAUUCAGCAAAAGGUGUGGUGGACCCAGACACCCUAGCAUAGAGGUGCAGGAAUCACAAAU